This is an RNA transcript of Formica exsecta, 1727 nucleotides long. RefSeq lists it as uncharacterized. The transcript is spliced from 2 exons. Lineage: Eukaryota; Metazoa; Arthropoda; Insecta; Hymenoptera; Formicidae. The record is from RefSeq and is a predicted model, not a curated record.
UUAUUAAUUAUGCAUAUAUUAAUAAAUUUUUAACAUUUUCAAUUAACAGAUUUUUAUUUUUUUACACCAUGUUUUUUGUUGCAUAAAAAUUCAAACAGUUUGAUCUUUGCAAUCUAUCUACUUUUAACAUUCUUGCUUCUUUUUAGCUUCACCAGUACUCUUUUUAUUUUGAAAAAUGGAAUCUUUUAGAUGGUUAUUUUUUUUUCUCUUAUAUGUCGAUAUGUGUAUAUGAUAUACUGCUAAAAUUUAACGUAUAUAUUUUUAUGUAUCUAACUGACACGAAUAAAAUGUGCUAGAGAUUAAAAAUCAAAACAUUGUUUUCAAACACAUCUUCUGAGGAAUAGAAAAGAUACAUGUACUGUUAUGAGACCUUGAAUUAAUAUCCUAUUUAUUUUUGUAACAUUAUCCUGCCAGUUUUAAAUUUGGUUAUUUUGUGACAACAUCGUUUCAAUAUAAUUAGUUGUUUCUAUAUAAUCAGAUAAAGUACACGCUCCGCACGGUAUCUUAAUUGUAAAAAGAAAUUUGUGUAGAUAUAUUUGCUGUCUGAUUUAUUCUGUUAUUGUAAUGGCCACUAGGGAACAAAUUCAAGAAUAUCUCCAUAUAAGGGAUAAUAUCGAUAUGACAGUAAAUGCUGUUUUAAAUAAAAUUGUAUCUAUAAAUACCAUACCAGAAGGUGAAGAAAAGAAUAUAAUAAAAUUAACAGUAGAAACUGUAGAAAAAAAAAAAGGAAUAUAUGCACGAAAAGGUAUCAUACGAGGCAGCAAUAUACGAUUAUAGGGUAACAGAACACUCCAACCCGAAAGCGGUAAAAAAAAUUGCAGCCAAAUAUGGACUUGAGCCUAUGAAUCUUAGCAUGGAAAUAUAUAAAACUACUAGUGACUCGAAUUAUGUAUUUACUAAAGCUAUAGAAGGAGAAAACAUUUCAUAUGCAGAUGAAGAAGAAUUAUGGCAACAUUUAAAAUCGUUUGUAGAACAAAAUUCAAUACCUUGCCCUUGUAGAGCUUGUUUUUUGCUAGAAUCCUCAAUACAAGCUUACAAAUUUUGCGAACGGUGGAACAUAGAUAAUUUUUACCAGCAUGGGAUUUUAGCCUUAUGGGAUUUACAUAAAGCGGCAACAAUAGAAUGGAUAAAAAAAUUCGAAAUGAGGCAUCGUGACGAAAUUUAUAACUUAUGCAGUAAGUCGUGUAAUAAGACCUGUAGUGUAGCACCUGUAGUACCUGUAUGUAGUACUAGCAUGAGUAAUAAAUAACAACUGUUGUCAAUGUUUGAUGGAGAAAUUAUUUUCGAACUAUCAAAAAAUUAUAAAAUGUUUUAUAGUCAACAAAUUUUAAUCUAUUUCGGUAUUGCAUUGUGAUGAAAUAUUAAUACAAACGUGCUAACAUUUACUUUAUAAGAUUUACGGUUUAAUGAACAGCUUGAGUAAGAUAUUUAAAAAAGAAACAGCACCUAUAAAUGCCAUUCUUAUAAAUGACGAGUCUUUAAGAUAUCUGUAAGAUGCUUUUUUAUCAACGGAAAGAGAAAAUUUUGAGAAAUAUGUAUUGUAAUUUAUGAACACAAACAAGCUUUUAUAUACGACUAGGCUACAAUAUUAUUUUUAAACAUUAAUUGUUAUUGAAAAUAUCUGUGUGAAUUUCGUUACGUUUUAUUGUGUAUAAAGGUCUUUAAAUAUUACAAGAAAAGUUAUAUGAGGCAAACAUAGAAACAAGAGAAAGAGAGAGAAAGAAACA